RNAcentral lists this ribosomal RNA (253 nucleotides) under uncultured bacterium. RNAcentral's name for it is "partial 16S ribosomal RNA". It matches the Rfam family "Bacterial small subunit ribosomal RNA", at positions 524 to 776 of the family's 1533-position model. The record is from RNAcentral.
GACGUAGGGUGCGAGCGUUGUCCGGAUUUAUUGGGCGUAAAGAGCUCGUAGGCGGCUUGUCGCGUCGACCGUGAAAACUUGGGGCUCAACCCCAAGCCUGCGGUCGAUACGGGCAGGCUAGAGUUCGGUAGGGGAGACUGGAAUUCCUGGUGUAGCGGUGAAAUGCGCAGAUAUCAGGAGGAACACCGAUGGCGAAGGCAGGUCUCUGGGCAUUAACUGACGCUGAGGAGCGAAAGCAUGGGGAGCGAACAGG